This is a non-coding RNA of Myotis davidii, 77 nucleotides long. Lineage: Eukaryota; Metazoa; Chordata; Mammalia; Chiroptera; Vespertilionidae. The record is from Rfam.
AAGACACCCUUCUGGGGCAAGACUUGCUUCAGUGGGGCUUUGGUGCUCACUGAGUCUGCCCCCUCAGUGUGGUCAUU